AGCCAGACUCCUACGGGAGGCAGCAGUGGGGAAUAUUGCACAAUGGGGGAAACCCUGAUGCAGCGACGCCGCGUGAGUGAAGAAGUAUUUCGGUAUGUAAAGCUCUAUCAGCAGGGAAGAAAAUGACGGUACCUGACUAAGAAGCCCCGGCUAACUACGUGCCAGCAGCCGCGGUAAUACGUAGGGGGCAAGCGUUAUCCGGAUUUACUGGGUGUAAAGGGAGCGUAGACGGCAUGGCAAGUCAGAUGUGAAAGCCCGGGGCUCAACCCCGGGACUGCAUUUGAAACUGUCAGGCUGGAGUGCAGGAGAGGUAAGUGGAAUUCCUAGUGUAGCGGUGAAAUGCGUAGAUAUUAGGAGGAACACCAGUGGCGAAGGCGGCUUACUGGACUGUAACUGACGUUGAGGCUCGAAAGCGUGGGGAGCCAACAGGAUUAGAUACCCGAGUA
Molecule: ribosomal RNA, 446 nt
Filed under: uncultured bacterium
Lineage: Bacteria
Description: bacterial SSU rRNA
Rfam family: Bacterial small subunit ribosomal RNA
Source: RNAcentral